AGAUUGAACUGAAGAGUUUGAUCAUGGCUCAGAUUGAACGCUGGCGGCAGGCUUAACACAUGCAAGUCGAGCGGUAAC
RNAcentral lists this ribosomal RNA (78 nucleotides) under Oleiphilus sp. HI0081. RNAcentral's name for it is "partial 16S ribosomal RNA". It matches the Rfam family "Bacterial small subunit ribosomal RNA", at positions 1 to 73 of the family's 1533-position model. Lineage: Bacteria; Pseudomonadati; Pseudomonadota; Gammaproteobacteria; Oceanospirillales; Oleiphilaceae. The record is from RNAcentral.